Lynx canadensis (Canada lynx) is the source of this 3002-nucleotide RNA transcript. It is a transcript of the gene named ribonuclease L, with no coding region annotated. The transcript has 8 exons. Lineage: Eukaryota; Metazoa; Chordata; Mammalia; Carnivora; Felidae. The record is from RefSeq and is a predicted model, not a curated record.
CGCCCUGUGGCUCAGGGACCUCUUGCAAGAAGUGCUUUCCUGUAGGCGACAGGCUUUGAAGAUUAUAUGACCUCAAAGGAAUAGCUGAGAGGCGUAUAUGACUUCAAAGGAAUAGCUGAGGGGCGUCUGAGUUUAGAAGGCUGUGGAAGAACUACAUCUACUGUGUGGAUACACUCACCAGGAUCUGCACCCUGGAAACAUCUUAAUAGAUUCCAAGAAUGCUGUUUGCCUGGCAGAUUUCGAUAAAAGCAUCAAGUGGGGUGGAGAGCCGCAGGAAAUCAAGACAGAUCUAGAGGCCCUUGGACUGCUGGUCCUGUAUGUGGUAAAGAAGGGAGAUAUCCCUUUUGAAACCCUGAAGACUAAAAGUAAUGAAGAGGUGAUUCAACUUUCUCCAGAUGAGGAAACUUGUAACCUCAUUCAUCACCUGUUCAACCCUGGAGAAAAUGUGAAGGAGCAUCUGAGUGGCCUGCUGGGUCAUCCCUUCUUUUGGAGUUGGGAGAACCGCUAUAGGACCCUUAGGGAUGUGGGAAAUGAAUCGGACAUUAAAAUGCGAAAAUGUAACAGCAGGAUUGUCCAACUACUGCAACUUGAAAUGUCUGAAUGUUCCAGAAGUUUUGCCCAGUGGACUUCUAAGAUUGACAACUACGUUAUGCAAGAAAUGAAUAAGUAUUAUGAAAACAAACGCAAACGGUAUAAGAAUACUGUGAGUGAUCUGUUAAAGUUCAUCCGGAAUUUGGGAGAACAUAUUAAUGAAGAAAAAAACAAAGAGAUGAAGUCGAGAAUUGGAGAACCUUUCCAGUAUUUGCAGGAGAAAUUUCCCGAUCUCGUCAUCCAUGUCUACACGAAACUACAGAACACAGAAUACAAAAAGCAUUUUCCCAAAACCCUCAAUCCCAGCAAGCCUUAGUGUGAUAGAGGUCAUCCCUGAGUGGUGGCUGAGCUUUUAGAGUUCAGGGAGGUACUUACUUAGCUGUGAUCUCGGGCAAGUCACAACUCUCUGUCUGGGUCUCUUAACUAACCUGGUUGUUUGCGGGGAUGUUAGAUAGCGGGUAUAUCAGGCCCUGACACAGUGCCCAGUUUUCCCACAUGUUUACAACAGAAAAAUGUAUAUGCUCAAACUACCUUCCUUGUCUUUUUUAUGGAUAAAGCUUAGUGGUAGGAGCUGGGAGGGCAUCCUGCUAAGAUUCCUCUUGUCAGUUACACCCCAGGAGUUGAGUGGCUACACCUGUAAUGCUUCUAUGUUUUACCUUGAUUGUCUCAUUUAAUUCUGCCAAUGACCUUGCAAGACAGGGUUUAUUAUCUCCAUUUAAGAACUGGCAGACCUGAGAUUCAGAGAGUUUGAAUUACUUGCCCAAGAUCAUACAACUUGCAUAGAGCACUGUAUAAAUGCAUGUCGUGUUAUUGUUAUCACUAACUUGGGUAUUUAGAACUUAAUCACUAGCCCAGGGAUCUUCUGGAUGGAUCCCCAAAGGAAUAUGUCAAAGGGACUCCAGAAAGCUCAUUCACUCAUUUACUCCACUUAUGCAUGCAUUCAUUCAUUCAAUAUUUGUUGAACACCUAGUAUAAGACCAGACACUAAUUGUAUGAAUUCCAUUCCUUCUAGAACCACCUACAUUGGUUUUCCAUGACCUCAAGGCAGUAGUUCUCGACUGGGGGCAGUUUUGCCCCCCAGGGGCCAUUUAGCAUCAUCUGGGGAUGUUUUUGGUUUUCAAUCUGGGAGAUAGGGCAUGUUAUUGUCAUCAGAUAGAUGGAGGUCAGGGAUGAUGCCAAACAUUCUAUAAUGCACAGGACAGCCCCCCACAACAGAGAAUUAGCCAGCCUAAAAUAUCAGUGGUACCAAGACUGAGAAACUCUGCCUUAAGGAAUUGGGACACUUUUGAACUGGCUUGGGGACUAGGACCAUGGAUUGUGUAGACCACCUCACAGAGGAGCGACUUGGAUUUAUUUUCUUGCUUUUGGAUUUGUAGUGAAACAAUUCCAGUGUCACCUCCCCAGGAAGCCCCCUGAGCCCCCCCACCCUCCAUCCCCCAGUCUGAGUGCUCUUUCUGGCCCCCUAGCACCCAUAACCAGAGCAUGCUUCUCUCCACCUUGAGCUUGCUUCUUCCUCACUGGAAUGUAAGCUUUCAAGGACCAGUGAUAUUUAUAAUGUUUAUUUAUUUAUUUUGAGAGAGAGAGUGAGUAUAAGCGAGGGAGGGACAGGGCUCAGCGUGGAGCUCGAUGUGGGGCUUGAUCCUACAACCAUGAGAUCCUGAUCAGAGCCAAAAUCAAGUGUUGGACACUUAACUGACUGAGCCACCCAAGCACCCCAAUAUAUAUUUUUUGAUUUGUAUCAUUAGUGCCUAGCAAAAUGUCUGCCAUAUGGUAACAUUCAAUAGUCCCUGAAAAAUGAAUGAACCACCUUUAUAAAUGAAGAAUAAUGUUACCUUAGAUUUUAAUCGUGCUUUAUAAUUUAUAAAUUACACCCACAUAUUUUCUCUUUUAGUUUUCAAAAUUAUCCUGUAAGGUAGGUGUUGUUAUCUUCAUUUUGCAGAUGAGGAUAGAGACAUAUUGAUUUACUCUAAUACAUAGCUAGAAAGUAUCACUGUCUUGAUUUGAACAUAUUUUCUGGCAUUAAGGCUGAUGUAUUUUCCACUUAUCCUCGUUCUGGUGGUCAAGGUGGAGACUUGUAAUGGGAGGAACUGGGGAUAAAACAGUAUCUUAGGUUCUUUCUGAAGAGAUGACGACAGUAAAUGAAGUUAAGAAGAGUUGGAAGUCAAACUAAACAUAACUGACACUGAUGUCCUCCACUCUCACCUAUGAUUGCAUGGAUCAUCCUCUCCUUGCUUAAAAAAAAGGUACUGGAAGAAAGAAACUUAAGGCUGUUCUGUAAGGUUUUAGGAGAAGCAAGAUUGCCUUAGAUUUUAAAAUUAAGGUUUGUUUUUUCUGAUUUGUAGUAAGUACCUGGUUAUGUCAAUCAAAAUGCCCAUUUGUAAAGCAUAGUCAAUAAAACUUGGAGUCCUCUU